Molecule: long non-coding RNA, 1185 nt
Organism: Felis catus (domestic cat)
Lineage: Eukaryota; Metazoa; Chordata; Mammalia; Carnivora; Felidae
Exons: 3
Source: RefSeq, a predicted model, not a curated record
CUCUCUCUGGCCCUCCCCCACUCACACUCUGUCUCUCUCUGCCUCUCAAAAAUAAAUAAAAAUGUAAAAAAAAAACCACAAAGUUUGCAUAUAAUUGGAGGUCUUACAGAACGUCAUGGAUGAGCUUCAGGAUUCAACCAGUGGAGAGAGAUCAGAGACACCAGCCAUAGCUGGUAAUAUGUCCCACAGCAGGAAGAGCACCAAAAGAUGGGUAGGAUUUUGAUGAGGGGAAGAAAGGAAGAGGAAGAAAGCAGGAACAUUCUAAGCAUCAGAAAGAAUUGUAGCAAAGAAAAAACAGAAAAAUGCCAUGGUAGAUUUGGAGGUCAUGAAAGGACCAGUAUCUGGAUCAGAAAGUUCUCAGGAGAGAGCAGUAGAACAGGUUGCUGCCAAAAGUGCUUUCUGGGUGUUCACUUCCGGUGUGAAGAUUCUUUAGUGUGUUUGAAGAUUAACACCAUUUGUGAAUAUUGAGUAUCUCUCACUUCUUUUUUUUUUCUUUUUUUGCAGGAGCUCAUUUACAAACCUUUUAAAGGUCAUGUAGCUUCAUGACACAACUCAGUGUAGUCAUUUGUUAGGAAGGACAGAUAUUAUGGGCUCCUUAAAGAAUGAGAGUUUUGACCUAGUGGUGGUUGAUGCUAUAGGAUCGUUACACUUUCCUGGUUGCUGAGAAGCUUGGAAGGCUGUCUGUGACCUCUUUACUAGCACAUUUGGAAUAUCAAUUUUGGGCUGUCUGAACCUGUGUCUUGCAUGUCCUCCCUGACAGAUCACAUGGAUUUCUGAGACCAGGUGAAGAACUCUCUGAUGUUCUUCAUUUCAACCUUGAGCAAAUGGUAUAUAUUCAUACUCAGUUUGAUGACACUAUCAAGGAACAUUUCCCAGAAGGCUCUAGGCCAGAGCUAUUUCAUCUUCAACUGAAAGCAGAGCUGGGGUUUGUUAGUUUUGGCUUUGGCUUUGUCUUUGCCUUUGCCUGGCCACAGCUUCCCAACACUGUGUAUGUUGGACACUUAAUGGCCAAACCUGAUGAGCCAAUACUUCAGAGUUUAAACCAUGAUGUUGAAUAAAAGUGAUGAGAGCUGACAUCUCUACUUUGUUCCUGUCUUAGGUGGAAAGAGUUCAAUAUUUUACCGAGAGAGACACACACAGAGUGCGAGCAGGGGAGGAGCAGAGAGAGGGAGACACAGAUCUGAA